RNAcentral lists this ribosomal RNA (497 nucleotides) under uncultured bacterium. RNAcentral describes it as "partial 16S ribosomal RNA". It matches the Rfam family "Bacterial small subunit ribosomal RNA", at positions 28 to 507 of the family's 1533-position model. The record is from RNAcentral.
GACGAACGCUGGCGGCGUGCCUAAUACAUGCAAGUUGAGCGCUGAAGGUUGGUACUUGUACCAACUGGAUGAGCAGCGAACGGGUGAGUAACGCGUGGGGAAUCUGCCUUUGAGCGGGGGACAACAUUUGGAAACGAAUGCUAAUACCGCAUAAAAACUUUAAACACAAGUUUUAAGUUUGAAAGAUGCAAUUGCAUCACUCAAAGAUGGUCCCGCGUUGUAUUAGCUAGUUGGUGAGGUAAAGGCUCACCAAGGCGAUGAUACAUAGCCGACCUGAGAGGGUGAUCGGCCACAUUGGGACUGAGACACGGCCCAAACUCCUACGGGAGGCAGCAGUAGGGAAUCUUAGGCAAUGGACGAAAGUCUGACCGAGCAACGCCGCGUGAGUGAAGAAGGUUUUCGGAUCGUAAAACUCUGUUGGUAGAGAAGAACGUUGGUGAGAGUGGAAAGCUCAUCAAGUGACGGUAACUACCCAGAAAGGGACGGCUAACUACGUG